This 502-nucleotide ribosomal RNA is filed under the name uncultured bacterium. Its description in RNAcentral is "partial 16S ribosomal RNA". It matches the Rfam family "Bacterial small subunit ribosomal RNA", at positions 899 to 1397 of the family's 1533-position model. The record is from RNAcentral.
ACUCAAAUGAAUUGACGGGAGUCCGCACAAGCGGUGGAGCAUGUGGUUUAAUACGAUAGUGCGCGUAAAACCUUACCAGCUCUUGACAUUCUAUUAAAGAUACAGAAAUGUUUCUCAUUUAAGUGUGAAAAUAAAAACAGGUGUUGCAUGGCUGUCGUCAGUUCGUGUUGCAAAAUAUUUGGUUCAGUCCAUUAACGAACGAAACCCUUAUUUUUAGUUAUUGAACCGUCCUUGUUCAGUCAGUCUAAAAAAACAACCAAGAGAACACUUGGCGGAAGUUUAGGAUUACGUCAAGUCUUUAUGGCCCUUAUGAGCUGGGCUACACACGUGCUACAAUGAUAACUACAAAGAGUAACUAGAGUGUGAACUGGCGUUAAACUUGAAAAGUUAUCUUAGUUCGGAUUGUUCUCUGCAACUCGAGAAUAUGAAGGAGGAAUCGCUAGUAAUCGUGAAUCAGCACGUCACGGUGAAUAUGUUCUCGGGCUUUGUACACACCGCCCGU